RNAcentral lists this ribosomal RNA (301 nucleotides) under uncultured bacterium. Its description in RNAcentral is "partial 16S ribosomal RNA". It matches the Rfam family "Bacterial small subunit ribosomal RNA", at positions 509 to 807 of the family's 1533-position model. The record is from RNAcentral.
CAGCCGCCACGGUAAUACGUAGGUGGCAAGCGUUGUCCGGAAUUAUUGGGCGUAAAGGGCUUGCAGGCGGUUUCUUAAGUCUGAUGUGAAAGCCCCCGGCUCAACCGGGGAGGGUCAUUGGAAACUGGGAAACUUGAGUGCAGAAGAGGAGAGUGGAAUUCCACGUGUAGCGGUGAAAUGCGUAGAGAUGUGGAGGAACACCAGUGGCGAAGGCGACUCUCUGGUCUGUAACUGACGCUGAGGAGCGAAAGCGUGGGGAGCGAACAGGAUUAGAUACCCCCGUAGUCCCUGUCUCUUAUAC